This 1570-nucleotide ribosomal RNA is filed under the name Candidatus Omnitrophota bacterium. RNAcentral's name for it is "bacterial SSU rRNA". It matches the Rfam family "Bacterial small subunit ribosomal RNA". Lineage: Bacteria; Pseudomonadati; Candidatus Omnitrophota. The record is from RNAcentral.
AAACUGGAGAGUUUGAUCCUGGCUCAGAACGAACGCUGGCGGCGUGGAUUAGGCAUGCAAGUCGAACGAUCCCUUUCGUCAAGAGGGGGAUAGUGGCGAACGGGUGAGUAACACGUGGGUAAUCUGCCUUUAGGUUCGGGAUAACCCGUCGAAAGAUGGACUAAUACCGGAUGAGACCACGGUCCCCGAUGGGACUGGGGUUAAAGAUGGGGAUCCUGAAAAUGGACCUGUUGCCUUUAGAUGAGCCCGCGAACUAUCAGCUUGUUGGUAGGGUAACGGCCUACCAAGGCUAUGACGGUUAGCUGGUCUGAGAGGAUGGUCAGCCACACUGGGACUGAGACACUGCCCAGACUCCUACGGGAGGCUGCAGUCGAGAAUCUUUUGCAAUGCUCGAAAGGGUGACAAUGCGACGCCGCGUGAGCGAUGAAGGCCUUCGGGUUGUAAAGCUCUGUCAGCUGGGAUGAAUGUAAGGCGGUCAAUAACCGUCUUGCUUGACAGUACCAGCAAAGGAAGCCACGGCUAACUCCGUGCCAGCAGCCGCGGUAAUACGGAGGUGGCAAGCGUUGUUCGGAUUUACUGGGUGUAAAGGACAUGUAGGCGUCUUAUUAAGUCGGAUGUGAAAUCCCUUGGCUCAACCAAGGAACUGCAUCCGAUACUGAUAAGAUUGAGUACGGGAGAGGUAAGCGGAAUUCCGGAAGUAAGGGUGAAAUCUGUAGAUAUCCGGAGGAACACCAUUAGCGAAGGCGGCUUACUGGUCCGAUACUGACGCUGAAAUGUGAAAGCUAGGGGAGCAAACAGGAUUAGAUACCCUGGUAGUCCUAGCUGUAAACGAUGGGCACUAGGUGCUGGCCCGAUAGGGGCAGUGUCGUAGCUAACGCGUUAAGUGCCCCACCUGGGGACUACGGUCGCAAGGCUAAAACUCAAAGGAAUUGACGGGGACCCGCACAAGCGGUGGAGCAUGUGGUUUAAUUCGAUGCUACGCGAGGAACCUUACCUGGGCUUGACAUGUUGGAAGUAGGAACCCGAAAGGGGGACGACCUGUUUUAGUCAGGAACCUUCACAGGUGCUGCAUGGCUGUCGUCAGCUCGUGUCGUGAGAUGUUGGGUUAAGUCCCGCAGCGAGCGCAACCAUCGUCCUAUGUUGCCACCUUCAGGGCUUGCCUUGAAGGGCACUCUUAGGAGACUGCAGUUUUUAACUGGAGGAAGGAGGAGAUGACGUCAAGUCAGUAUGGCCCUUACGCCCAGGGCGACACACGUGCUACAAUGGUCGGUACAAAGGGUUGCGAUACCGCGAGGUGGAGCCAAUCUCAAAAAGCCGGCCUCAGUUCGGAUCGGAGGCUGCAAUUCGCCUCCGUGAAGCUGGAAUCGCUAGUAACCGCAGAUCAGCCAUGCUGCGGUGAAUACGUUCCCGGGUCUUGUACACACCGCCUGUCAAGUCACCUGAGUUGAGUGCACCCGAAGCCGUUAGCUUAACCCUUAACGGGAGAGCGAUGUCGAAGGUGUGCUUGGCAAGGAGGACUAAGUCAUAACAAGGUAGUUGUACCGGAAGGUGCAUCUGGAUCACCUCCUUU